UGGGGAAUAUUGCGCAAUGGGCGAAAGCCUGACGCAGCAACGCCGCGUGAGUGAUGAAGGCCUUCGGGUUGUAAAGCUCUUUUGUCAGGGAAGAAACGGUAGUAGCGAAUAACUACUACUAAUGACGGUACCUGAAGAAUAAGCACCGGCUAACUACGUGCCAGCAGCCGCGGUAAUACGUAGGGUGCAAGCGUUAAUCGGAAUUACUGGGCGUAAAGGGCGCGUAGGCGGCCCUCUAAGUCAGACGUGAAAUCCCCCGGCUUAACCUGGGAACUGCGUCUGAUACUGGAGGGCUUGAGUAUGGGAGAGGGAUGUAGAAUUCCAGGUGUAGCGGUGAAAUGCGUAGAUAUCUGGAGGAAUACCGGUGGCGAAGGCGGCAUCCUGGACCAUUACUGACGCUGAGGCGCGAAAGCUAGGGGAGCAAACGGGAUUAGAUACCCCCGUAGUCCCUGAGCGGGCUGGCAAGGCGCAU
This 472-nucleotide ribosomal RNA is filed under the name uncultured bacterium. RNAcentral describes it as "bacterial SSU rRNA". It matches the Rfam family "Bacterial small subunit ribosomal RNA", at positions 355 to 825 of the family's 1533-position model. The record is from RNAcentral.